UACGGAGGGAGCUAGCGUUGUUCGGAAUUACUGGGCGUAAAGCGCACGUAGGCGGCUUUGUAAGUUAGAGGUGAAAGCCCGGGGCUCAACCCCGGAAUUGCCUUUAAGACUGCAUCGCUUGAAUCCGGGAGAGGUGAGUGGAAUUCCGAGUGUAGAGGUGAAAUUCGUAGAUAUUCGGAAGAACACCAGUGGCGAAGGCGGCUCACUGGACCGGUAUUGACGCUGAGGUGCGAAAGCGUGGGGAUCAAACAGG
RNAcentral lists this ribosomal RNA (253 nucleotides) under uncultured bacterium. RNAcentral describes it as "partial 16S ribosomal RNA". It matches the Rfam family "Bacterial small subunit ribosomal RNA", at positions 524 to 776 of the family's 1533-position model. The record is from RNAcentral.